UAAUACGUAGGUGGCAAGCGUUGUCCGGAUUUACUGGGCGUAAAGAGCGCGCAGGCGGUCGAGUAAGUCGAAUGUGAAAGCCCCCGGCUUAACUGGGGAGGGUCAUUCGAUACUGUUCGACUUGAAGGCAGGAGAGGGCAGCAGAAUUCCCGGUGUAGUGGUGAAAUGCGUAGAUAUCGGGAGGAAUACCAGUGGCGAAGGCGGCUGCCUGGCCUGUUCUUGACGCUGAGGCGCGAAAGCUGGGGGAGCAAACAGGAUUAGAUACCCUGGUAGUCCACGCCCUAAACGAUGGGUACUAAGUGUCGGCGGGUUACCGCCGGUGCCGCACCUAACGGAGUAAGUACCCCGCCUGGGGAGUACGGCCGCAAGGUUG
This 373-nucleotide ribosomal RNA is filed under the name uncultured bacterium. RNAcentral describes it as "bacterial SSU rRNA". It matches the Rfam family "Bacterial small subunit ribosomal RNA", at positions 521 to 896 of the family's 1533-position model. The record is from RNAcentral.